RNAcentral lists this long non-coding RNA (682 nucleotides) under Vigna radiata. RNAcentral describes it as "long non-coding RNA (VRAD_LNC003824)". The record is from RNAcentral. Lineage: Eukaryota; Viridiplantae; Streptophyta; Magnoliopsida; Fabales; Fabaceae.
UGGCAGAGUCGCCUGCUGCCGUGACAUCGUCGAUGAUCUCGCUCUGGUUGCGGUGGAGGAUCGGACGCGCCAGCCAUUGGCCAGAGUCAGUAGCCGCAGUGUGGAGGUUGAGGAAGUUGGUGCCGCUGUUGUUGGCAGCGUUAACGUUGGUGUCGGAGUUGCUGUUGUCAUUAUUGUUGUUUGUGGUGGUGCUGUUGGUGUAGUGCGUGCGGAGAAGGGCGUUAUUGAGCCAAUUUGGCGCUGGUUGGUGAGGAUCAGAGGGAGGUUUGGAGGUAGGGUCGGAGAGGAGAGAUGCGUCAGUGAGAGUUUGGUUAUGGUGUUGUUGUUGGUCAGUGAAAUGGUGGAGUGGAAGGUCUUGAGGGUUGUGGUAAGCCAUAUAUGAUAGAAAUGAAACUCUUUCCUACUCUGUGUGCGAAAGGUAGCAGCUAUUGGUUCAUGGCUAAGUGAAGAAACUAGAGAGAAAAAUGGAAAAUGGAGGGAACAUAAGGUGUUCUGAGUUACAAACAACGUUGUAUUAAUGGUUUUGGAGAAACACACAACUCAAUACAUUCACAUAAGGCGGUUUUCUGUAUUUCUCACUCUGGUUUUCCGGUCAUUACUUACUAAUUCCGGAAAUUGCUUUUUUUUCCGUCACCCCCACUAUUUUCUUUUUCUUUUUAUUUUCACCCUGGCCCUUCAACCC